RNAcentral lists this transfer RNA (76 nucleotides) under Deltaproteobacteria bacterium. Its description in RNAcentral is "tRNA-Ala". It matches the Rfam family "tRNA". Rfam says of the family: Transfer RNA (tRNA) molecules are approximately 80 nucleotides in length. Lineage: Bacteria; Pseudomonadati; Myxococcota; Myxococcia. The record is from RNAcentral.
GGGCCUGUAGCUCAGCUGGGAGAGCACCACACUGGCAGUGUGGGGGUCAUCGGUUCGAUCCCGAUCAGGUCCACCA